AACGAACGCUGGCGGCAUGCCUUACACAUGCAAGUCGAGCGGCAGCGCGGGGCAACCUGGCGGCGAGCGGCGAACGGGUGAGUAAUACAUCGGAACGUACCCAGUUGUGGGGGAUAGCCCGGCGAAAGCCGGAUUAAUACCGCAUACGACCUGAGGGUGAAAGCGGGGGAUCGCAAGACCUCGCGCGAUUGGAGCGGCCGAUAUCAGAUUAGGUAGUUGGUGGGGUAAAGGCCCACCAAGCCGACGAUCUGUAGCUGGUCUGAGAGGACGACCAGCCACACUGGAACUGAGACACGGUCCAGACUCCUACGGGAGGCAGCAGUGGGGAAUUUUGGACAAUGGGCGCAAGCCUGAUCCAGCAAUGCCGCGUGCAGGAUGAAGGCCUCGGGUUGUAAACUGCUUUUGUACGGUAACGAAACGGUCUGCUCUAUACAGUGGGCGUAAUGACGG
RNAcentral lists this ribosomal RNA (450 nucleotides) under uncultured bacterium. RNAcentral's name for it is "bacterial SSU rRNA". It matches the Rfam family "Bacterial small subunit ribosomal RNA", at positions 29 to 475 of the family's 1533-position model. The record is from RNAcentral.